UGAACGCUGGCGGCAGGCCUAACACAUGCAAGUCGAGCGGUAGCACAGAGAGCUUGCUCUCGGGUGACGAGCGGCGGACGGGUGAGUAAUGUCUGGGAAACUGCCUGAUGGAGGGGGAUAACUACUGGAAACGGUAGCUAAUACCGCAUAAUGUCGCAAGACCAAAGUGGGGGACCUUCGGGCCUCAUGCCAUCAGAUGUGCCCAGAUGGGAUUAGCUAGUAGGUGGGGUAACGGCUCACCUAGGCGACGAUCCCUAGCUGGUCUGAGAGGAUGACCAGCCACACUGGAACUGAGACACGGUCCAGACUCCUACGGGAGGCAGCAGUGGGGAAUAUUGCACAAUGGGCGCAAGCCUGAUGCAGCCAUGCCGCGUGUGUGAAGAAGGCCUUCGGGUUGUAAAGCACUUUCAGCGGGGAGGAAGGCGUUAAGGUUAAUAACCUUGGCGAUUGACGUUACCCGCAGAAGAAGCACCGGCUAACUCCGUGCCAGCAGCCGCGGUAAUACGGAGGGUGCAAGCGUUAAUCGGAAUUACUGGGCGUAAAGCGCACGCAGGCGGUCUGUCAAGUCGGAUGUGAAAUCCCCGGGCUCAACCUGGGAACUGCAUUCGAAACUGGCAGGCUAGAGUCUUGUAGAGGGGGGUAGAAUUCCAGGUGUAGCGGUGAAAUGCGUAGAGAUCUGGAGGAAUACCGGUGGCGAAGGCGGCCCCCUGGACAAAGACUGACGCUCAGGUGCGAAAGCGUGGGGAGCAAACAGGAUUAGAUACCCUGGUAGUCCACGCCGUAAACGAUGUCGAUUUGGAGGUUGUGCCCUUGAGGCGUGGCUUCCGGAGCUAACGCGUUAAAUCGACCGCCUGGGGAGUACGGCCGCAAGGUUAAAACUCAAAUGAAUUGACGGGGGCCCGCACAAGCGGUGGAGCAUGUGGUUUAAUUCGAUGCAACGCGAAGAACCUUACCUGGUCUUGACAUCCACAGAACUUUCCAGAGAUGGAUUGGUGCCUUCGGGAACUGUGAGACAGGUGCUGCAUGGCUGUCGUCAGCUCGUGUUGUGAAAUGUUGGGUUAAGUCCCGCAACGAGCGCAACCCUUAUCCUUUGUUGCCAGCGGUUCGGCCGGGAACUCAAAGGAGACUGCCAGUGAUAAACUGGAGGAAGGUGGGGAUGACGUCAAGUCAUCAUGGCCCUUACGACCAGGGCUACACACGUGCUACAAUGGCAUAUACAAAGAGAAGCGACCUCGCGAGAGCAAGCGGACCUCAUAAAGUAUGUCGUAGUCCGGAUUGGAGUCUGCAACUCGACUCCAUGAAGUCGGAAUCGCUAGUAAUCGUAGAUCAGAAUGCUACGGUGAAUACGUUCCCGGGCCUUGUACACACCGCCCGUCACACCAUGGGAGUGGGUUGCAAAAGAAGUAGGUAGCUUAACCUUCGGGAGGGCGCUUACCACUUUGUGAUUCAUGACUGGGGU
RNAcentral lists this ribosomal RNA (1459 nucleotides) under uncultured organism. RNAcentral describes it as "SSU rRNA". It matches the Rfam family "Bacterial small subunit ribosomal RNA". The record is from RNAcentral.